AACAAGGCUUUUGUUAAAGCCACAAUCAUGCUUAAUUAUAAAAUA
Camelus ferus (Wild Bactrian camel) is the source of this 45-nucleotide non-coding RNA. NCBI's taxonomy places the organism in Eukaryota, Metazoa, Chordata, Mammalia, Artiodactyla, Camelidae. The record is from Rfam.